GGCGGAUCUGUUUCCUACGGUGGCAGCAGUGGUUGUGGACAAGGUGUCUCCUAUGAUAGCAAUCCCUGUCACCAGGGUGGAUCACAGGGUAGUCAGAGUGGCUCAUAUUCCUCACAAAACUAUGGUGGUAGCCAAGUAAGUAUUGCCUCCCCCAGAGGUUUUAUGAUGGUUUUAACUUCUGUGAUGACUGAUCAAUAUCUGAUCAGCAAUAUGGUAAUGUAAAUUCUAAUUACUUUGUUGUUUUUGUUUCUUAGCAGAGUGGAUCAUCAUACUCCCAAAAUUAUGGUGACAACCAG
This 296-nucleotide long non-coding RNA is filed under the name Parus major (Great Tit). RNAcentral's name for it is "lncRNA (ENSPMJG00000019334.1)". The record is from RNAcentral. Lineage: Eukaryota; Metazoa; Chordata; Aves; Passeriformes; Paridae.